UCAAGCUAGAAAGAGCGCAAGGGGAAUGCCUUGGCAUCAGGAGCCGAUGAAGGACGCGACAAGCUGCGAUAAGCUUCGGGUAGCUGCAAAUAAGCAAUGAUCCGGAGAUUUCCGAAUGGGGCAACCCGGCACGGCAAUACCGUGUCAGCGUGCACUGAAUCAAAUAGGUGUACGUGGGGAACCGCCUGAACUGAAACAUCUAAGUAGGGCGAGGAAAAGACAUCAACCGAGAUUCCGCAAGUAGUGGCGAGCGAACGCGGAGUAGGCCAAACCAGAGGUCAUUGAUCUCUGGGGUAAGGACUUGCAUCACGAUCAGAGGUAUCUAGUCGAAUGGCGUGGGAAAGCCAACCACAGAGGGUGAGAGUCCCGUAGACGAAAGAGAAGACUGACAGCGAGUAUCCAGAGUACCGCCGGACACGUGAAACCCGGUGGGAACAUGGGAGGACCACCUUCCAAGCCUAAAUACUACCUGAUGACCGAUAGAGAAGCAGUACCGUGAGGGAAAGGUGAAAAGAACCCCGGGAGGGGAGUGAAAUAGUACCUGAAACCUUGUGCUUACAAGCAGUCAGAGCACGUUAAAGUGUGAUGGCGUACCUUUUGUAGAAUGGUCCGGCGAGUUAUAGUCACUGGCGAGGUUAAGCAAUUCAGUUGUGGAGCCGAAGGGAAACCGAGUCUUAAUAGGGCGUCGAGUCAGUGGCCAUAGACCUGAAACCGGGUGACCUAUCCAUGAGCAGGUUGAAGUUGGUGUAAAAGCCAAUGGAGGACCGAACCCACGUUCGUUGCAAUGACCGGGGAUGACUUGUGGAUAGCGGAGAAAUUCCAAUCGAACUCGGAGAUAGCUGGUUCUCCCCGAAAUAGCUUUAGGGCUAGCGUUGUGUUAGUUUACCGGAGGUAGAGCACUGAAUUGGCUAAGGGGCGAUGAGCUUACUGAACCUUAUCAAACUUCGAAUGCCGGAUAAAUGGUGCACAGCAGUCAGACAGUGUGAGAUAAGUUUCAUUGUCAAGAGGGAAACAGCCCAGACCCACAGCUAAGGUCCCAAAUGAACGCUAAGUGGAAAACGAUGUGGGGUUGCAAAAACAACCAGGAUGUUGGCUUAGAGGCAGCCACUCAUUAAAAGAGUGCGUAAUAGCUCACUGGUCGAGUGACCCUGCGCGGAAAAUAUAACGGGGCUAAGCGUCCAACCGAAGCUUGGGAUGUCUAAGGACAUGGUAGGGGAGCGUCGUGUAUAGGGAGAAGCAUGAGCGAGAGCACAUGUGGACAGUACACGAGUGAGAAUGCCGGAAUGAGUAGCGAGAAUUAUGUGGGAAUCAUAAUGGCCGAAAAUCUAAGGUUUCUUGGGGAAGGUUCGUCCGCCCAAGGUAAGCCGGGAGCUAAGGCGAGGCCGAAAGGCGUAGUCGAUGCACAUACGGUUGAAAUUCCGUAGCCGCCGAAAUUGUUAAGCACAGGGACACAUAGAGAUAUCCGAACCCGGGCGUUGGUUGACCCGGGCGCAAGGGACCGAACAUCAGUAGGGAAGUCGGAGAUGCUCUGUGGCGAGAAAAGCUGUGUGUAUUGAUUAGGCGCCCGUACCGCAAACCGACACAGGUAGAUGAGGAGAGAAUCCUAAGGCCAACGGGAGAAGGGUUGUUAAGGAACUCGGCAAAUUGACCCCGUAACUUCGGGAUAAGGGGAGCCUCCUACGGGAGGCCGCAGUGAAUAGGCCCAAGCAACUGUUUACCAAAAACACAGGUCUCUGCUAAAUCGAAAGAUGACGUAUAGGGGCUGACGCCUGCCCGGUGCCGGAAGGUUAAGAGGAGAGCUUAGCGCAAGCGAAGGUUCGAAUUGAAGCCCCGGUAAACGGCGGCCGUAACUAUAACGGUCCUAAGGUAGCGAAAUUCCUUGUCAGGU
Molecule: ribosomal RNA, 1888 nt
Filed under: human gut metagenome
Description: bacterial LSU rRNA
Rfam family: Bacterial large subunit ribosomal RNA
Source: RNAcentral